CAGGGGAGGCCGGAUCCUGGGCUGUGUCCCCGCGCCCUGUGCUCCGGGGCCUGUGCUGUUGGAUUCGCGCUCCCGCCCCACCCCCCCUC
RNAcentral lists this microRNA precursor (89 nucleotides) under Canis lupus familiaris (dog). RNAcentral describes it as "mir-8799 microRNA precursor family". It matches the Rfam family "mir-8799 microRNA precursor family". Lineage: Eukaryota; Metazoa; Chordata; Mammalia; Carnivora; Canidae. The record is from Rfam by way of RNAcentral.